ACGACUCCUCUCCCCUCUUCCUCUUCAACAAGCCAGAGCUGCUAAAUAAAAACCCUAUACCCCGCCUGCCGCCGCCGCCGCCGCCGCCAUCAUCUCCUCCUCCCAUUUCCCCCUUCCGACGAAAACCCUAGCCAGCCAUGGCGUGGCGAGGCCCCGCCACCCGGGCCGUCCUCGCCGCCGUCCGCCGCCCGGCCGCGGCGCCCGCGGCCGCACGCCUCCACGCCCCGCGACCGUUCGCGGCCCCGCGCCGCCGCGUCCCGUCCGCCUUCGGCACCUCCUCCUCCCCGCUCCCGUCCGCGCGGCCUCUGGCGGCGUUGAUGGGGUCCCCGGUGACGGUGGCCGCGGUGAUGGCGCGUCUCACGGCGCACCCCGGUGCCAGCGCGCGGGCGUGCUGCGAGCUCUCCCAGGGGAGUGGGAAAGAUGGUUGAUGCUGGAGGCUCUGCACAACUUGAUGGGGACCUUCCGACCUAGAAUGAUGAAAUGGAAAAGAUGGGUGAUGCAAGAGAGGCCAUUGUAGAGCCUGCCAAAGGUGCUGAUUUCAAGCAUGUACUCCUUUGGUACUUGAAGUUGUUGUGUAGAUCCCAUCCUUUCGAAAGGAUAAAAAUGUGUCUUUGGAAAAGCUAUUGUGGCAUUUCUUCCACUGCAAAGUUAGAAGAAUUUACCCACCAAUAGCCAGUUUCCUCGUUAGGAUCUUAGAAUAGACUGAAAUAAUCUUAAAUGUUACAUGGCAUGGUUUGUGCACAUGGAUUUAUCUUCCCUCUUUUUGGUACGUGAUAUUAUACUACCAUCUGCAGAGAUUCUUUGGUGUCAAGUUUCAGUUGACCUGAGCUAAAUGAUAGUGUUACCGUGCCUUGUUUACUUUUGCAUGAGGUGUUAACUUAA
Sorghum bicolor (sorghum) is the source of this 882-nucleotide RNA transcript. RefSeq lists it as uncharacterized. The transcript has 5 exons. The record is from RefSeq and is a predicted model, not a curated record. Lineage: Eukaryota; Viridiplantae; Streptophyta; Magnoliopsida; Poales; Poaceae.